Sciurus carolinensis (gray squirrel) is the source of this 1449-nucleotide long non-coding RNA. RefSeq lists it as uncharacterized. NCBI's taxonomy places the organism in Eukaryota, Metazoa, Chordata, Mammalia, Rodentia, Sciuridae. The record is from RefSeq and is a predicted model, not a curated record. The transcript is spliced from 3 exons.
UUGUCACCGGGCUGGACAGCUACAUGCCAAGAUGCCACCUGCAGGGAUUGUUUUGCGCCCCAUGUGCAGGGCUGAGGCACGGACAGGAAGACGUGUGGUGUGCAUGGGUCUGGGCACACGGGCACACGGGCACACACACGGGAAGCCUGGGGGGAUUCUCUUUGGAGCCACAAUCAGAAUGGAUUUCCGAGAGGGAGCCGGUCAGAGUGCCUUCCUCUUCCAUGUGCUACCUACCUCCGGCCCAUCCCUGCCAGCCGGGUCUUCAGGAGAGUGGUCGGAGCCUGCUUCAACUCUGGCCAAGGGGAAGGGCAGAAUGAGAAUGAGGACAUAAAUCGUCCCAGAGGCUCGUAGAGGGGUUGAGUCUCUCACCACUUCCUGCGGGGCUUCUGAAUACUUCCAAGAGCAGAAGCACUUUUCCCAACAGACAAGUCAGUAAGAACCUGCCGAGAUAAACUGUGGCCAUCUUCAGCCAGCGUUCAUGCUGACCGCUGACGGCCCUCUGGGCACUUCUGUGUGCCAUGCCUUGGGCUAAGCACUAUCUCAUUUAGUCCUCGCAACAACCCUGCAAGCCCCAGGAAUGGAAUUAGGAAGCUCAGGAUGGCAAAGCCACACGCGGAUGGGCCCGGUGCCGGCGGGACAGCUACGAGGCCUGAAUUGGCAGAAUCUUUAAAUAACCAAGGACCCAUUAGCGUGCGUGAGGAGUGCGCCUGAGACUGCGUGGCCGGCCGGACGGGAGCUCCCAGGGAAGAGGGGUCGAGCUGUGACACCAGAGGAGGGCAGCUGAGCCCCAACAGAGAAGUCUCUGCCUGCUGGCUUCAGACUCAGGACUCUGGACACUUGACUUUCUGGAGAGGGCUUCCCUUCUGCAAAGUCAAGAUCAAAGAUCAAAGCCAUCAGCUGGUCAUGCUGGAGGGGGACACGCAGAGUCACGGUCCUGACUGUGGGCAUCAUAGUAACGGUGGAUGUUGAGGAAAGAGGGCAGCGGGGUGAGGUGACAUGUGACUGUCUCCUGCUUCGACACUAACUGAUAAGCAUCCAAAAGGGCAGGAAUGUGUGAUUUUAAUGAGACGAUCAAUUCUGAACUUUGGAUGUGCCAAGUACUGGCCAAGUAGCCUAGGGCACUGUUUACUUCUCUUCCCAGUUUCUUCAACUAUAAUAUGAAUUUUAACAAAAAGAUUGAUCUGAGAGGAAGACAUAUAAAAGACAUAUAGUCCAGUGCCUGGUAAACAACACAUUUUAUAUUGCUUUCGUAUGUGUAUAUUGUUAAUUAUAUUUAUAUAUUAAAUUACUAUGUUUCAAGCGCUGUUCUGUUUUAUAUGUAAAAACUGAUUAUAUGUUCAUAUUUGUCCUAGGAAUAGGCAUGAUUAUUUUCUCUGAUAUAUACAUAAGGAUUCUGAGACUCAGAGAUGUGACGUGCCUAAGGUUCACAGCAAUUAAGUGGCAAAUUGU